GUCCACGGCUCUGAGCGGGGCGAGCAGCCCGGGGUCCAGGGACAGGAGCUGGUUCCUGGACACAUCCAGCACCUCCAAGGCAGCAGGCAGGUCGCCCCGGGACAGCGUGCUCAGCCUGUUGGCGCUCAGGUCGAGGCCCCUCAGCGCCGUGAGGUCCCGCAGCAGCCCCGGCGGGAGGGCGGCCAGGUAGUUGUGGUUCAGGUGCAGCACCCGGAGCCGGGGCAGCCCCCGGAACACGUCCCAGCACCGCCCGGUCUCCCAGGCCAGCUGCAGCAUGUUGCUCCCGAGGAAGAGCCUCUCUGGGCCGACGCUGCCCGUGGGGCCGUGUCCGCCACGGCACGCGGACAGGCGGUUGCGGUUGAGGAUGAGGACCUGCAGGGCAGGGACCCGGAGGAGCGAGUAGAGGUCGCCCAGGUCCUCCAGCCUGUUGUCCGACAGCUCCAGGAAGCUGGCUGUGAGGUCCAUGUGGGACACGGUCUCCAGCUUGUUGUUGCCCAGGAAGAUGGUGUCUAUGCUGGGCACGAAGGAAACGGUUUUGAGGGCGUUGUCGCGGAGAUCCAGGGUCCGAAGCGCCCCCAGGAAUCUGAACGUCUGGUCCUGGAUGAUCCCGAUGUGAUUGUGCUGCAGGUCAAUGUAGGCGACCUCCGCGAGCCCCGAGAAGUCAGAGUCAUAGAGCUCGCCCAGGAGAUUGUGCGACAGGUUGAGAACCUGGACGCUGCCGAGGCCGUGAAACGCUUCUCCCGCGAUCCUGUUGAUCUUGUUGUGGGCGAGGUCCAGGAGCUUCAGGUCCCCGAGCACCUCGAACAGUCGGGCGUUCAGGGAGAAGACGAAGCCGUGCGACAGAUCCAGCCGCAGCACCGAGCUCCCGGCCAGCCCCGCGAACGUGCUCCGGUCAGGGUCCCGGAUGUUCCGGAAGCCAAACCCCUGCCCCAUGAUGUGGUGGGCGAGCACCAAGGAGGAGAUCUGGCUCCCACCGAUGGCCCUGGUGACGUUGCCCGUGACGUCUGCGGUCCAGCCGUUGUUAGACACGUCCAGGGUCUCCAGGACCACGUUCCUGAACGGGUUCCCGCACCGCCCCCAGUCCACGGGGGCCCGGCUGUACAGGCCAUUGGCCGCGAGGUUCAGAAGGGAGAGCGCCUUGCCCUGCAGGGGCCUGAGCCCCUGCUCACACGCAGCCGGGAUCCGGUUGAGGGAAAAGUCCACGGACCUCAGGGAACCCAGCUCCCGGAAGGAGGCGUGAAGCUCGAGGCUCCCAAUCUGAUUUUUGGACAGGUCCAGGCGCGACAAAGCCCCCAGGUUUCUGAAAUAACCGUCUGUCAACACGACGUCGGAGAGGCCACAGGCGAACAGCCGGAGUUCCUGCAGGUGGGGCAGCCCCUGGAAGGCGUCGGGAUGCAGGAAAUCCACCCGGCUGUUGCCCAGGUCCAGGGUGCGCAGGUUGGGCAGGUUCCUGAAGGCUUCUCUGUCGACGCUGAAGGGCGUCUGCUGCGUCCCCAGCUCCAGCAGCUGCAGCCGCUCCAGGAGGGGGAACGAGGCGCGGGUGACGGCCCGGAUGUAGUUGAAGCUCAGCAGGAGGAUCUCGGUGGUGCUGGGGACCGGGGGCACCUGGCUGAGGUUGCAGGAGCGGUACAGGGCCCUCCGGCCGUCAGCCACGCAGCAGGAUGCCGCGGCCACGGCGCCGGCCACAAGCAGCAGCCCCAGUGCGCGGCCCAGCUGGCGGCCCAUGAUCCUGCGGGACGGAAACACAGCCGUGCAAGCCCAACGCCACCCCGGGGCCCAGGACGGGGGCCCCUGGACGGGCACCUGCCUCCCCCCACACGUGCGCCCGGCGGGACGCGCACUCAGCGCCGUGCUGGGUCCUUGAGAAACACUUACCUUGAGGAGAGUCUGUUUGCCGUCACUCAAUCGGGAUGCGUGCAGGGCGUCGGGGAAAAUGGCAGGCGGAGGAUACUGGUGCCGCCCCCGCCCAGUGCCGGGGGCCCGCCCCUCCGCCCCCUGCGCGCUCCACACACGGCCCGGGUCAGCACGCACACGCUGGUCCUUCGGGCCACCAUCCGCGAAGCGCCCAGCCUGACGGGUCAGUGCAUCCCCCUCCCACCCCCUGCCCAGGCCUGUGGGGGCGAGCGCGGCGCGGCUCAGGGCGCCCGUCAUCUGGACAAGUGCCACACGUCCGCUCUGUGCACAGGGUGCAGCAGGGGCUGGACACACGGGCCAGCUGGGGCGCACGUCCUGGGGCAGGCGGCAGCGGCCAGAGUGGCCAGGAAGGCCCCCGAUGACUCGAUGACAUCCAGGGGCCCCAGGGAUGCAAAGGAAGGAGGCCCAGCGGGGAGGCGGGGGGUGCAACACGGGGGCUCCGGCCGCCUCUCCACGCACUUCCAGGGCUGGGACUUGGCACGUGCUGCUUCCUCUGCACGCACGCUCUCCUCCCAUGGCUCCGUGGCUCGUCGCUGA
RNAcentral lists this long non-coding RNA (2451 nucleotides) under Canis lupus familiaris (dog). RNAcentral's name for it is "lncRNA (ENSCAFG00040010007.1)". The record is from RNAcentral. Lineage: Eukaryota; Metazoa; Chordata; Mammalia; Carnivora; Canidae.